CGGGGGGGGCAAGCGUUGUUCGGAAUUACUGGGCGUAAAGGGCUCGUAGGCGGCCAACUAAGUCCGACGUGAAAUCCCCAGGCUUAACCUGGGAACUGCGUCGGAUACUGGAUGGCUUGAAUUCGGGAGAGGGAUGCAGAAUUCCAGGUGUAGCGGUGAAAUGCGUAGAUAUCUGGAGGAAUACCGGUGGCGAAGGCGGCAUCCUGGACCGACAUUGACGCUGAGUGAGCGAAAGCUAGGGGAGCAAACGGGAUUAGACACCCCGGUAGUCCUAGCCCUAAACGAUGAAUGCUUGGUGUGGCGGGCAUCGAUCCCUGCCGUGCCGAAGCUAACGCAUUAAGCAUUCCGCCUGGGGAGUACGGGCGCAAGGCUG
RNAcentral lists this ribosomal RNA (373 nucleotides) under uncultured organism. Its description in RNAcentral is "bacterial SSU rRNA". It matches the Rfam family "Bacterial small subunit ribosomal RNA", at positions 526 to 896 of the family's 1533-position model. The record is from RNAcentral.